GUAAGUUCUUAUUAAUGGAGGUGUAGGUGGGGUUUUAAGUAAUAAAGAUACUUUCUCCACCUUCUUGCCCCUCUACCAUCUAAAUGCUGAGAACUCAGGUCCUAGGGAAUGGCAAACCAUGCAACAGAAGGAAGCCUCCUAUGUAAACCCACAUAUGGAAGAAAGCCUCUGAUUGACCAGAGAAGACUCUUACAUGAGCAAGAAAUGUGCUUCUAUUGUGUCAACAACUGAGUUUUGGCUUUGAUACAGCAGUUCACAUUGCCCUAGUUAAUGUACUGGGAGGUGGAAGGAAAUACGGGGCAAAAGAACAGAUGAGAGAUGUCAAAAAGUAUGGAUUGAUGGGUCAAAAGUUAGGGGACACACAGCCAUGUCAUCUGAACCAGAAAAGAACCUGGAACCAAAAAAAAAUCAGUCCUUUUGCUCGGGGACUGAGGGGACCAGCAGACACAGCAUCCUUCACACCAUGCCCUCCUUCACCCUGCCUUCAUUCAAUUGCUAAACGUGCCUCGUUCUGCUAAGUGUUCAGGUGGUAUCUACUUCUCUCCAUUCUCACUGGCAGUACCUGGGUGGUCAUCUUCAUCUGUUGGCUGGAUUAUUUCAAUACUCUGUAACUAGUCCUAUGUUCUGUUAGUCACCCCUUUUUCCCCUCACAGAUCCAUUCUCCAUGCUGCAGCCGGAAUCAUCUUCCUAACACACAAAUGGGAUUAUGACCCACUCCUUAGGCCCUGGCUUGAACCCUUCAAUUAAUUCUCAGUGUGAUUACAAUAAAAUUCAAAACUCUAUGUGGCCCUGCAUGAUAUGGCCUGUGUUUCAGCUGUCACCUCUCCAGUCCUUAGACUCUGUGUUUCAGCCACUGUGAACUUCUUUUGGCUCUCUGAGUGGGUCACACUUCUCUUGCCUCUUGUCCAUCACAUAAGACACUCCCACUUCCCAAAUGUCCUUCCCCUUCUCUCCUCUCCAUGUGCCUUCCUACCAACAGUUUGACUCCCACUCAACCUAGCUGUCACCUUUUCUGGGAAGUUUUCUCUGACAUAUUCAGACUGAAUUAACUUCUUAUUUUCUGUCUGUCCUUAGUACCCUGUUCAUUUCCCUAUCAAAGCACUGUCAUACUCUACUGAAUUUUCUGUCUGUAUCUUUGGUUAGACUGAUGCUUGAGGGCAGAAACACCUCAAUCACCAUUAAAUCUGAGCACUUCAUGGAUAUUUGGUACAGAGAAGAUGUUCAGUACUUUUUUUUGCUUGUUUUUUAGCUGGGUGGAUGGGUGGGACAAAUACCUGUUUGAUACAAGCCAAAGAAAAGGUCAUACAUAGGCAAUAAGCAAUGUUGGUUAACCAUUAGUGAAAAUAGAAUCACAUUUUUUUCAUACAUUUAUUUAUUUAUUUAAUCUGAUCCAUAAAUAUCUUUUAACAUAUGAUUUUCCAAAGUUGCUGUGUUUGACUCUUUUAAAGGAUUUGACUGAUUUGCUUAAUUAUUUGUUUGUUUGUUUGUUUGUUAAUAUGUGAGUAGACAAGCCAGCACAUCUUUCUCACUCUCUACAAGCCAGGACUGGAAGAAAUCUGGUUGUUGGCUUAGGAGGGAUGAACCACGCACUGGGUUAAGACCUUGGCUCUGGAGUCAGAGCGUCUGAGUUUAGUUCUGCCAUGUGAUUUACCAACCAUGUGAUCUCAGGUGAUGAAUUAAUGUUUCUGAAGUCCUUAUCAGAGUGCCUAGUACAUAUUAAGAAUGCAACAGUGGGUAGCAAUAUCAUCAAUGUUAUAUUCUCCACAAAAAUUAACUUUAUCAUUAUCCUUCCUUAAUAUUGUUGUUAGACUGUGACUGACGCAUCACGGGGGGCGGGGGUUGUACACUGUGUGCAGGAAAAGUAACCAGAAACAUCAGCCCUAUGAGAUCAUCAGGAAAGACCUAAUGCUUCUCACUGGACAGACAAGAAAACCCACACUCAGCAGGGUUAGGAGACCUUCUCCAAGUCACGUAGCUAGUAAGGGCAGAGCUGAGAGUCAAACCAGAACCUCUGAUUCCAAAGCCAGUUCUCUUUCCACUACACUGCACGGCCUCUGGGUGUUAGCAUUUCCAGGUCCCACCUACUUCCAAAUAUCUAAGGUCAAAUAGGACUUUGGAUUCCAAAUAUGCACACUGGGACUGCCUGUUCCCUUCUCUCCAUUCACAGGUAUGUGGCAUUGUGGGCCCAUGGGGCAUUCUGCCCAGGCUUCAGAGCUCUCGGAUGUGCCUCCCUUCCCCAAGCUGUCUUCUCUGUCAAGGGCACAGAGUGGUUCCCAUAGAGACCAAAGUAACCUUUCACAGAGUUGUUUCUGCGUCUCUCCCUGGGAAUGGGCUGGGAUUGCUAUCAAUCUCUUGCACUUCAGAAGUCCAGAGAAACCAAGGCUUUUGUGCUUUGUAGACACAUGCCACAAAAACUGAGCACACUUACCAACUGAACAAACAUCAGAGUGUGCCAAAUCUCUAAAGUCCGAUUCUUAGUGCAAACUGCCAAAGCAGGUAACACUUACAGUACUCAGAAGGUCAUAAAUCGUCUAAGCUCGAUAGCACCUGAGGCCUCUUCUAGUCUGAACUAUUUAUUUUGCAAAGGAGGAAAUAUGGGCAUAGAAAUGGGCAGGAACAAAUGUCCAGGCUUUGGUGAUAGUGGUUGUGGGGUGUCUCCUGGGUCCCAUUCCGUCAUCCUUCUCAUUACACCCAUAUACGUCUUCCUGGAGCCUCAUCAUAAUUGGAUACCCCUUACAGAGACCAGCUGCCUGAGACAUAGACACCUGCUCAGGACGUUGGCUAUCACUAUGGGGAGGCAUUUUGACACAGGCCAUUGUUAGUGAUUGGGAACACCUCCUAAAAAUGAGAUGGUCUGAAGGGGUCCCAGUACUUGGGGGCUGUGUGUAAUAGGAGCCUUAAGAGAGGCUCCUAGACUAUCUCUUGAUUGCCUGUAUUAUAUUUUGUGAGAAUGUAAACCUACCUCACUAUGAAUUUUAGCAAAAUAAAAUUUAAAAGAAAACAACCAAAUGAAAAGAGGUGUCAUACAGAAAAGAAGUAUGGACAAUUCUAGCGAUGUUUCAAGAAUAGUGUUCAUCACUGGUUCUCCAGUACACAGAGAAAUGUGCUGGAGAGGUUCAUUAGGAUUCUUGAGUCAAGCCAAAGGCUACAAUCAGGCAUGUGGUUUCAGGCAUCCAGUAGCAGAGGUUAGCUCUAGAGUGGGGCCGGAAAUAAACAUUGCCCCAUGUACCUACCCUACCCUUAGCUUAGUGCCUCCCAGUAGGUGGAAGGGAAAUCUUAAGGAACCAAGAUGGGUUGAUCAAUUCCAGGAAGCUUUGAUGUUUUCAAAAUCCCAUAGGAUAUUGAAGUCAUAGAACUUCCCAGGGGGUUCCUGAACCAGAAUUCGCUUCAAUCAGACAGACAGGGAACAUAUCUACUGUCCUCUGUUCUCCACAUUUUCUCAUCUUCUGAACCUCCACUUCCAGUCCUAAAUCAGAGAUAGGCAACUCCCUGCAGUACGGCGAUACCACAUGCCAGAGGGCUAAAGGAGUUCUCUCUAUUGCACAGGACCAUUCACAGGCAAUGGAGUGAGUCUGAGGGGGAUCUGAAGGGGAAAAUUGCCUUUUGAGCAUACUAAAUUCCAUCCCAUUUAAGGCAGGAGACAGUGUCUCUUUAUUCUUAAGCUUCCAUUAUCCUCCUUGGUACCCAGUGCGUGGAAGAGACUGAAUAAACAUCUGACGGAUGACUAGGUAAAUGAAUGAAUGAAAGAAUAAAGUGAGUGUUUGAGUUAGUUAGAAAAAGAGUGAACUAUAUAGGCUAGAGAAUGACUGCCAAAAAAACCACAAGGGCAUUGCAAAAUCUCCAUAAUACACACAUAAAUGUUCAUGCAUUCUAUGAUGGAGAAAGAAGUUCAUCUGUUUAUAUAAUUCCUAUCAAAACUGUAUUUCCUCUUAUGUUUUUUACUUUCUUGAACUCUUUAAAACAAGAAACUUUUAACUCUUUUGUUCUCUGAACAUUUAAAAUAACUUUUUGGUGUUAUUUCUUUCGUUUUUUCUAGCCAGUGAAAUAUUUAUCCCAAUGAGCUGUUUUUCACUUAACCUUGCUUAGUGUCUUUGUCUGUAGUCACCACUUGGCCUUUUCACUACUAUAUGCAUUAACACCCAGGUAGGAAAGAGACAAAUGGAAGCAAAAUAGCAAAAUGGUGAAGAGGAGGGUUCUAGAGGCAGAGAGCCCUGCAGUCCUGAGUCCUGAGUCCACCGUUUAACAGAGUGACUUUGCUCAGCCUGUGGAUUAUAAUGAAACUUGCCUGUAAGUUAUAGGAUCCAGUUUUUUAGGUGGUAGCAACAUGCUCAAGGAAGAUGCAGCCCCUUCCUCCAGCCUGAGAGAAUAAAGCAUCAUUGGCUUAUGCCAACCAUGGCAAUCCCAUUCCCCUUUUCUCAUGAUUGAUUUGGGAAUGGGCAAGUGACCCAGUUCUAACCAAUGAGACGAAAGAAAAAGUCUAUUGGUCAGCUUAUCUCAGAAGAUUUUUGUUUCCUGCUAUAAAGAGAAACAGUAAGUUCCUUCCUGCCUGACUUAAAUGCAAUUGUGUGCAAACAUGUUACUUGGAGCUACAGCAACGAUUCUGUGACCAUGAGGCAAUAAGCCAAGGACAAAGGAUAGAAUAGUGAAAAGACAGAGUAUUGGAUUUUUUUUAUGAUAUCAUUGAACUGCUGGACCAAUGUGGAACCAUCUACUUUUAGUCUUUCAUGAUUUGUGAGAUGAUUAAACAUUUCUUUUUUUUAGCCAUUAUUUCUUUUCUGUUACUUGCAACUGAAGACAUCCUACAUAAUACAAACACUAUCCAACUUGGAUUGUAAUUUAUCUAUUUUCAGAUCUGUGUGUUCUGUCUUACUGAUUUUUGUAUUCUUAGCACUGAGUAUAAGGCUGCUACUUAGUAAGACUUCAAUAAAUGACUGUUUAAAAAGGUCUUAGAGGAUUUAAAAAAAAUUCUGAAGUUGCUGAAAUAUGAAGACCAGGAACCAAUUUCAGGUUCUAUAAAUUUCUCGCUUCCUUCACUUCUGGAGUAGUCUUCAUUUCUGUCUGAUUCUACCUUUACUAAAAUGAAUGAAUGAUUGAGAAAUACGAAAAAUGGCUGGUAUAGUGGCUACUGCUGAGAAGUAUCUCUUGGAAAUUCCCGGAAAUUCCAUCAGUCACAUUCAGACCUAACUCUCUGAUGAUCAAUGUUUCUGAACUCAAACCAGUGUACAUAAGCAGUGGACUAUUUAAAGUGGUAUUAGCCUAGAAUAUCUAGGACCCAUGUUUUAUGCAUUCAGUAAGCGUUUGUUUAAUGUCUGUUAUCUACCAGGCACAUUAUUAUGCAUUGGGCAUAUAGAGAUGACCAACCACACGGCCUCAAUCCUUGAAAAGCUUACAGUAACCAAAUAGGGUUAACGGCCUAAAGAGAGGUAAUUACAAGUCUUACACUCAGUCUUCUUAGCAUAGUAUGGUGCUACCUCUGAGUUAAUUAAGAUAACAAAAUUCCUAGAUAUAUAUCUUUGAUGAAACGGUUUCCAUGAAAACUUUCCAAGUUUGGUCCCUCCCCGGCUGAGUUCAUUUUGGAAGGUGACUUUCUGCUCUCAUCACCUAAGGUCCUUAACACGUAUCCUGUGUUCUCCGGAGGCACCCCUUGCCCAGAGUGUGCCCUCUGCAUGGUUCCCCCAGAACACCUAUUUCAAAGGAAAAGAAGUUGGAUCAUUCAGUGAAGAUUUGGGGGGCCACUUUUCUACGUGGGAGGAUUAUGAGUAUUACCUUCCUCCCCUAUGUAUUAGUAAAUAUAAAGAAAACAUAAAUUAACCCCCUUUCUGGCUGGGCACGGUGGCUCACGCCUGUCAUCCCGCACUAUGGGAAUCCGAAGUGGGCGGAUCACUUGAGGUCAGCAGUUUGAGACCAGCCUGGCCAACAUGGCAAAACCCCGUCUCUACUAAAAUAUAAAAAUUAGCCAGAUGUGGUUGCACACAUCUCUAGUCCCAGCUACUCGGGAGGCUGAGGCACAAGAACUGCUUGAGCCUGGGAGCAAGGGUUGCAGUGAGCUGAGAUUGUGCCAUUGCACUCCAGCCUGGGUGACAGAGCAAGACUCUGUCUCAAAAAAAUAAAAUAAAAUAAAAAUAAUUUAGACCCCAUUCUUCUUAGAUAACCAUGACUUCUGAAGGAGGUCAGAGCUCUUGUGCUCUGCAUCUCUGCUCCAUCAGCCUCAAGGCCACCUUUCAGGUCCACAUGAAAUAUAAGUGCACAAAGGCACCAGACUUAGCAUUAUUAGUUUCCCCCACUGGUCUGAUUUUUGUAGAAAUUGCCAGGAACUGAUUUUCUGCCCUUCCUUCCUAACAGACAAGCCUUCCAGCCCUCCCUGACACAGCUCUUCCCUAUCUCCUACUCUCUGGUCAUCAAGCUUUUAGAGAUGCCCUGGCCUUCUCUAGUUGCCCCAGCUGUAUUUUUUCUUCUUGGGAAUGCGUUGAUUCCAGAGCCUGACUGGGAAUAAAUCUCAGCUCCUCCAUUUAGCAGUUAUGGGAUUCAAGUUACUCUUACUCCCAGGGACUCAGUUUCUGCACCUGUAAAAUGGAGAUUUACCACCUUUCGUUCCAGCAUUACUGAUAUUGUUUGGCUCUGUGUCCCUACCCAAAUCCCAUCUCGAAAAUUAAUCCCUAUAGUCCCCACCUGUUGAGGGUCCUGGUGGGAGGUAAUUGGAUCCUGGGGGCGGCUUUUCCCAUGCUGUUCUCGUGAUAGUGAGUAAGUUCUCACGAGAGCUGACGGUUUUAUAAGUGUUUGACAGUUUCUCCUUCACACGCUCUCUCUUCUGUCUCCUGCCAUCAUGUAAGAUGUGCCUGCUUCUCCUCCUCUCAUGAUUGCAAGUCUCCUGAGGCCUCCUCAGCCAUGAAGAACUGUGAGUCAAUUAAACCUCUUUCUUUUAUAAAUUACCCAGUCUUGGGUAUUUCUUUGUAGCAGUGUGAAAACAGACUAAUGCAAUUACCAUAAUGGGCUUUCAAUUGAUGAACUUGCAUCACUGACUCCUCAACACGCAGCUGACUUCCUACUGUAAUUGUUCACCAUGCAGACAUUUGUGGAGCCACAAGCAUAACCAUCAUGGUAUUUAAGAUUCGUUCUGUAUCUGGAUUUAUGCAGUUUAUGAAAAAUCAUCAAACUGUCCUUAUUAUUGGUGUCUUUUUUCUGUAUAUAUGUUAUGCUUCAAUAAAAUAUUUACUUAAAAUUAUUUUAGGUAUGUUAAACUCACUACACCAGACAGGGCUUACCUUCUCACUCUGCUGUCUUUAUCCCUCUCUCUAAUUAAAAGGAUUACAC
RNAcentral lists this long non-coding RNA (7311 nucleotides) under Homo sapiens (human). RNAcentral describes it as "HSALNT0146018". The record is from RNAcentral. Lineage: Eukaryota; Metazoa; Chordata; Mammalia; Primates; Hominidae.